GAACAAAGUUUCUUCAUAUCCUUAUCCAAUCACAAAACUAAUUUUUACACCAAUUGCCUUAUACAUAAUUUUUCCUUCCUCUUUUUGUUCAUUGACAAUGUUAAUUAAUUAGCCAUGAAAGUCCUAAUCAUAUUCAUAAUAUCAACAAUGUUGUCCACUAAUUGCCAAGCAAUUACUACUAAUCUCAACCCUCUAAUCUUGAUACCAGGAGCUGGUGGAAACCAAUUAGAAGCAAGAUUAACUUCAAAGUACAAGCCUACAAGCUUAUUGUGCAACAAGUUGUAUCCAUUAAAUAAAGAUAGUGAAGG
This 308-nucleotide unclassified non-coding RNA is filed under the name Hevea brasiliensis (rubber tree). The record is from RNAcentral. Lineage: Eukaryota; Viridiplantae; Streptophyta; Magnoliopsida; Malpighiales; Euphorbiaceae.